CGUGAGGGAUGACGGCCUUCGGGUUGUAAACCUCUUUCAGUAGGGAAGAAGCGAAAGUGACGGUACCUGCAGAAGAAGCACCGGCUAACUACGUGCCAGCAGCCGCGGUAAUACGUAGGGUGCGAGCGUUAUCCGGAAUUAUUGGGCGUAAAGAGCUCGUAGGCGGUUUGUCGCGUCUGUCGUGAAAGUCCGGGGCUUAACCCCGGAUCUGCGGUGGGUACGGGCAGACUAGAGUGCAGUAGGGGAGACUGGAAUUCCUGGUGUAGCGGUGGAAUGCGCAGAUAUCAGGAGGAACACCGAUGGCGAAGGCAGGUCUCUGGGCUGUAACUGACGCUGAGGAGCGAAAGCAUGGGGAGCGAACAGGAUUAGAUACCCUGGUAGUCCAUGCCGUAAACGUUGGGCACUAGGUG
RNAcentral lists this ribosomal RNA (410 nucleotides) under Micrococcus sp. YNLB12-64-270505. Its description in RNAcentral is "bacterial SSU rRNA". It matches the Rfam family "Bacterial small subunit ribosomal RNA", at positions 400 to 822 of the family's 1533-position model. The record is from RNAcentral. Lineage: Bacteria; Bacillati; Actinomycetota; Actinomycetes; Micrococcales; Micrococcaceae.